This 519-nucleotide ribosomal RNA is filed under the name uncultured bacterium. RNAcentral's name for it is "partial 16S ribosomal RNA". It matches the Rfam family "Bacterial small subunit ribosomal RNA", at positions 29 to 507 of the family's 1533-position model. The record is from RNAcentral.
ACGAACGCUGGCGGCGUGCCUAAUACAUGCAAGUCGAACGCACUCUCGUUUAGAUUGACGGAGUUUGCUCCUGAUUGAUAAACAUUUGAGUGAGUGGCGGACGGGUGAGUAACACGUGGGUAACCUGCCCUAAAGUGGGGGAUAACAUUUGGAAACAGAUGCUAAUACCGCAUAAAACCUAACACCGCAUGGUGUAGGGUUGAAAGAUGGUUUCGGCUAUCACUUUAGGAUGGACCCGCGGUGCAUUAGUUAGUUGGUGAGGUAAAGGCUCACCAAGACCGUGAUGCAUAGCCGACCUGAGAGGGUAAUCGGCCACACUGGGACUGAGACACGGCCCAGACUCCUACGGGAGGCAGCAGUAGGGAAUCUUCCACAAUGGACGAAAGUCUGAUGGAGCAACGCCGCGUGAGUGAAGAAGGUUUUCGGAUCGUAAAACUCUGUUGUUGGAGAAGAAUGUAUCUGAUAGUAACUGAUCAGGUAGUGACGGUAUCCAACCAGAAAGCCACGGCUAACUACGUG